This 2247-nucleotide long non-coding RNA is filed under the name Homo sapiens (human). Its description in RNAcentral is "HSALNT0050065". Lineage: Eukaryota; Metazoa; Chordata; Mammalia; Primates; Hominidae. The record is from RNAcentral.
GCUUGACCCAAUGUCAGUUUCCAAGAGCACUUUUCAUAGUGGGUACAGGGAAGUGAUGAAAAUAUAUUAGACAGCAUUUUGGUUGAGAAAAUAGGGGGUAGGAAGGAUUCUUGGCAGAGCUGUGCCCAGAAUUCCCUGUGGUCCUGCAGACGCUUGGGUCCUCAUUGUGGUUUGCUGUGGCCUCAACAUUCCUCUGGCCUUCUCCCAGGAGGAGGUGAGGGAGAGAUCAGUGAAGUUGCAAGUAGUUACACCACCCAAAUUAAGACAGAGAACAGCAACCACGUGACAUGUGUAUCUGCCAAAGGGAAUGGAAAGAGGUCUAUGUUACAUUGUUGAUCCUCCUGUCCCUUCUCAGGGGUGUCAGUCAGAGUCCCACUAGAGAAGAAACAAAGAACCUUCAACAGCAGGUUUAUGAAUAUUAUGGGACAAUGGCUGCUUCUCCUUGAGGAGGAGUAGAGAAGCAAGCUUGCUUACUGUUUCUUUUUCUUUUCUUUUUUUUUUUUUUUUUUGAGACAGGGUUUUACUCCCGCGGCCCACAUUGGAGUGGAUCGGGGCAAUCUCGGCUUACUGCAGCCUUCACCUCUCAGGCUCAAGUGAUUCUUCUGCCUCAGCCUCCCAAGUAGUUGGGACUGCAGGGAUGCACCAUCAUGCCCAGCUAAUUUUUGUAGUUUUUGUGUAGGAGGGCUCUCGCCACGUUGCCCAGGCAGGUCUCGAACUCCUAGGCUCAAGCAAUCGGCCCACCUCCGGCCUCCCAAAGUGCUGGGAUUACAGGCGUGAGCCAUGGCGCCGGCCUGUUUACUGUUUCUGUGCAUGUGAACGUGCGUCCUUUCUGAACUCUCACGGGUUGAUGGCUAAAUGUGCCACUAAAUGAUUUAACCCAGGGUUUAGAAGCCAGCCCUCUGACACCUUAACAUCAGAAAGGCAGUUCUCCUAGAGUCAGGCCUGAAACAAGCAUUCUUCCUGGGAAACACCCGUUAUUGUAGAGGGGCCUGUAGACAGGGAACUGCGGUGGUUGGAAGGUGUGCGCACGGCCCUGUGAUUUAGGACCAGAGUUUCCAGAGCCUGUGCCCUGUGCCAUGACCUCACAGAGUGCUGCUGAGUUUGUAUCUCCCCUUCCCCCUUGGGUGGGCCUGGAAGGCCAGAGGGGGCUGGAGUUGGGGUUUGCUUUUCCCCAAGUAGGUUAGACUGAUGAAAAAUUUGGGUCUGUUAGACUCUGGUGAAAUAAUUCCCCCUAAAGCAGCCCUCAUGAGAACAGGGUGUAUUUCAAAAUAAUCCUUUUCCCCUGGCUGUAAGUAAGUGGGGAUAUUUCCUCCCUCCCUUUUUUUUUUUUUUUUUGAGACAAGUUCACCCUCUGUCACCCAGGCUGGAGUGCAGUGGCGCGAUCUUGGCUCACUGCAACCUCUGCCUUUGGGUUCAAGCGAUUCUCCUGCCUCAGCCUCCUGAGUAGCUGGGACUAUAGGCGCGCGCCACCACGCCCGGCUAAUUUUUUGUAUUUUAGUAGAGAUGAGGUUUCACCAUGUUGCCCAGGGUAGACUCAAACUCCUGAGCUCAGGCAAUUGGCCUGCCUCGGCCUCUCAAAGUGAGCUGGGAUUACAGGCGUGAGCCACCGCGCCUGGCCGAUUUUUCCUCUCUAAUGUGGGAACCUGGUCGAGCUCUCGGAGGUAAAAUUCACCAAGCGCAGGUCCCCCAUGACUGGGUUCCCCUGGAGUUUUUCUCUCACUUGUCCAGGUGGCAUCUCCAGAAAUUCAUGAGGGGCAGCUCAAGUCCCUGGCACUGGCCCCGCAGAGGUUCUGCUCCUGUCAGCUGAGGUUCUCAGAACCCACUUGUCUGUGUCUCCAGAUUUGGGGGCCGUGCUUUGCCUGGUGACUCAGUUCUCCGACGGGUGAAGAAGAGUUGUUGAUUUUCAGUUUGUUCAUCCUUUUCCUUCCGUGUGGAUGGGAACUGGACUGGACCCUGGAGCCCGGAGCCAAGAAGUCAGGAAGAUGAUUCCACAGGAGCUCAGGUGUGUCUGUCGCCUGCACCCAUGGUCCCUCCCCGAGAAAGCAGACCCACGGCCCCUUCAAGUCCCUCCCUCCACACUGCCCACCCUGCAGCAGGGCCUUCUUCAUUCCCCUUCACCGGUGCUCACUGCAGGUAACAGAGGGGCUGGGUGUGGUCAUUGUGCUGGACCCUGGAGCAUCUGGGCAUGCUCAUGCUGAUCUGGGCAUACACCGCUGCAGUGUCCCUGAGAGAAGGAAAAUAAUCCAA